UCGAAAAUAGUUAAUUUUUGGACCAUUUUACCCCCGGUUCCGAAACCUAUCAAUAUGGGUGUCAUUGGACUCCUUGUGACGUGUAUGUUUCAUUGUUGAUAGUGGGUUGUCAUUCCGGGCGCUGAAUUCGAGAGUUGCUUGUCCGGUGGAGGUAUUCGAGUGCGGCUUCGGCAAUUGAGAUACUAGUCGGGGUACCCCACGUGGCAGUUAAUAUUCUAGCGGAUUGUGUAUUCUCAGAUUAGUGAUUAUCUCAAGAAAAUCAUAGUAGAAGAUCAUUCAAGUCAACAAAAGUCAAAGGAUGUUAUGACCGAAGAGGAAAAACUGCUGCGAGAAGAAAACGAACUUCUGGAGGACCAUAUAGCUACUAUCAAGAAAAACACAAAAGUGAAUGAGAUGUCAAUGGACUUCACUGACCUUCCACCACCCCACAUAAUUUGUGGACAACAGAGAGCGACCCUGAAUUUCCUCUACCGAUUAUUGUUGUAUUUGUCAAAUAGCCCCUUGUUGAGGCCCCGGGAGUAAUAACCUGCAAAAUUAUCACAAGUCAAGGUGUCUCCAAGAAUAGCUAAUAUUGUGCAGUUUCAAUAAAACUAAUUAUUCAUCUGAGCUUUGGCCCUCCGGCUUGUGUUUUCGUUGCAUGUCCAUGAACUUAUUCAUGUUUCUGUUGGAUGAUGAUUAAUUUAUAUCUGUACUUGAGGCCAUGCAAUUGUUUUGUGAAAUUUCUAGAAAAGAAUCAAAACCUAAUAUUGUUAACCUAUAAUACCAUCUUGCAAGGUCUGUAUUAAGUUGGAAGAACUGGUGAAGCAAAACAAAUUUACGCUGAGAUGCUAUUUGUAGGGAGCAAGCCGAAUAUAUACACUCAUGUCACUUUGCUCAAUGGUUAUUUUAAGUGUGGACUUAUUGAAGAAGGGUUGUUGGAUGAAGCUACAGAAAUUCUAAGAAAAAUGAAAGACAACGGUUGUUCUCCAAACAAUGUCACUUAUAAUGUCAUUAUGCAAGGAUUUCUCAGGUGCAACAAAAUUAGUGAAAUGACAUCCUUUAUGAAGGAAAUGUCUGGAAGGGGCUUCUCAUUUGAUGCAACUACAGCUGGUGUUUUGGUAGACAUUGUAAGGGAGAAUUCUUCUGUCAUUGACAUGAUACCAGAGCUUCAAUCGAAUAAUAAGAAGUGAAUAUUUUUUUUGUUUGGUUUAUUCGGCUACGCUAUCGCUGUGAUACAAUUUCCUUAUCAUCCCUGCUAAAGAAAUGGCAUCCAAUGCAAUUGUACAAGCUGAUGGCAAUUAGCAUGUUGCUUGAGCUUUCUACACAGGCCUUUUGAGGAGGCCCUCUUGUGUGCACCUUCAACUAUUCAGCAAGUACAUGCUACCUCCCACCAACACAAGUACCAGAUAUCUUUGACUACCAGAUAUGUUCAGUUGUCUAUGGAAUAUUUAAUCUUGUGGACAAUUUAAGAUAGGAGUAAAACAUGUCUAUUUCCUUCCAAGUUUAGUUUAUCAAGUGAUGCAAUCAUGUUCUGUCAAAAUUUAACCUCGUCUUUAGAAUGUUUUGAAUGUCAGUUGUGAUUGUUUGUUUCUUCUUCAUUAACGUAAUAGAGUGCACCUGAUGUUUAUGAAUGUC
Long non-coding RNA from Solanum dulcamara, 1614 nucleotides. RefSeq lists it as uncharacterized. Lineage: Eukaryota; Viridiplantae; Streptophyta; Magnoliopsida; Solanales; Solanaceae. The transcript has 7 exons. The record is from RefSeq and is a predicted model, not a curated record.